AGUGAACGCUGGCGGUAGGCCUAACACAUGCAAGUCGAACGGCAGCACAGUAAGAGCUUGCUCUUACGGGUGGCGAGUGGCGGACGGGUGAGGAAUACAUCGGAAUCUACUUUUUCGUGGGGGAUAACGUAGGGAAACUUACGCUAAUACCGCAUACGACCUACGGGUGAAAGCAGGGGAUCUUCGGACCUUGCGCGAUUGAAUGAGCCGAUGUCGGAUUAGCUAGUUGGCGGGGUAAAGGCCCACCAAGGCGACGAUCCGUAGCUGGUCUGAGAGGAUGAUCACCCACACGGGAACUGAGACACGGUCAAGACUCCUACGGGAGGCAGCAGUGGGGAAUAUUGGACAAUGGGCGGAAGCCUGAUCCAGCCAUACCGCGUGGGUGAAGAAGGCCUUCGGGUUGUAAAGCCCUUUUGUUGGGAAAGAAAAGCAGCAGGUUAAUACCACGCUGUUCUGACGGUACCCAAAGAAUAAGCACCGGCUAACUUCGUG
Molecule: ribosomal RNA, 492 nt
Filed under: uncultured bacterium
Lineage: Bacteria
Description: partial 16S ribosomal RNA
Rfam family: Bacterial small subunit ribosomal RNA
Source: RNAcentral